GAAAUGCGAUAAGUAAUGUGAAUGGCAGAAUGCCGUGAAUCAUCGAAUCUUUGAACGCACAUGGCGCCCGCCAGUACUCUGGCACGCAUGCCGAUUCGAGCGUCGUUUCGACCAUCGAGCCCCCGGGCUCGCGUUGGGGAUCUGCGGCCGCGCGCAGGCCCCGAAAACCAGUGGCGGGCUCGCCGUCACCCCGAGCGUAGUAGCAUCCGUUUCUCGCUCCGGGGCGUGGCGCGGGACCCGGCCGUUAAAGGGCGGUUGACAACGCCCAACAUACCCAGGUUGACCUCGGAUCAGGUAGGAAUACCCGCUCAACUUAA
RNAcentral lists this unclassified non-coding RNA (317 nucleotides) under uncultured Madurella. Its description in RNAcentral is "sequence contains ITS1". The stretch from base 1 to 105 matches the Rfam family "5.8S ribosomal RNA", at positions 50 to 154 of the family's 154-position model. The record is from RNAcentral. Lineage: Eukaryota; Fungi; Ascomycota.